RNAcentral lists this long non-coding RNA (509 nucleotides) under Gallus gallus (chicken). The record is from RNAcentral. Lineage: Eukaryota; Metazoa; Chordata; Aves; Galliformes; Phasianidae.
UCUGUAGCCCCCGGUGCGUGGUUCUUAUCUGGGUGAAAUUUCAGUGCAAGUUUCCUGUAAGCCUUUUUCAAGUCCUCAUCAGAGGCUUCUCUGUUGACUCCCAAAAUUUCAUAGUAAUCCUUGCAUUGCUUUACCCUCUUCACGGCAUCCACCUGGUCCUGCGUGUAGCCCUUGGGGGCCUCCCCACCGGCCUCCCCAUUGGCUGAUGGGAAGUCCCCGCCUGCCUUCCUGAACUGGGCUUUUGGGGACUCCCGGGCCUGGGACUGCCCGUUGGAUGACGGCUCGCUCUUGUUAAGCGACUCGAGGAGAACGCGGACCCGCGGCGAGGGGUAGAGCCGCUGCGCCUUCUCCAGGAAGCGGCGGGCCCGCUCGGGCUGGUUGGCCUUGACGGCGGCCAGCGCGAUGCCGAUGCACCGCUCCGCCUCGUCCCUGUUCGACUCCAUGGCGGCGGCGGCGGCCGGCCGGGGCGGGGGCGGUGCUGCGCGCGGGGUGAUGACGCCACACGCCCC